GACGAACGCUGGCGGCGUGCUUAACACAUGCAAGUCGAAAGGAGUGGGGAACGGGUGAGUAACACGUGGGUGAUCUGCCUUGCACUUCGGGCUAAGAUUGGGAAACUGGGUCUAAUACCGGAUAGUGCAAGAUGAGAUCGCGGCCUAUCAGCUUGUUGGUGGGGUAAUGGCCUACAAAGGCGUCGACGGGUAGCCGGCCUGAGAGGGUGUACGGCCACAUGCGGCCUGCGCGACGGCCCAGACGCCGACUGUAGGCAGCAGUGGAGAAUAUUGCGCAAUGGGCGGAAGUCUGAUGCAGCGACGCUGCGUGGGGAAUUAAGGCCUUCGGGUUGUAAACUCCUUUCGACAGGGACGCGGUACCUGUAUAAGAAGCACCGGCUAACUACGUGCCAGCAGCCGCGGUAAUUC
RNAcentral lists this ribosomal RNA (408 nucleotides) under uncultured bacterium. RNAcentral describes it as "partial 16S ribosomal RNA". It matches the Rfam family "Bacterial small subunit ribosomal RNA", at positions 28 to 526 of the family's 1533-position model. The record is from RNAcentral.